RNAcentral lists this ribosomal RNA (389 nucleotides) under Serratia sp. AZTITEMP223. Its description in RNAcentral is "bacterial SSU rRNA". It matches the Rfam family "Bacterial small subunit ribosomal RNA", at positions 947 to 1335 of the family's 1533-position model. The record is from RNAcentral. Lineage: Bacteria; Pseudomonadati; Pseudomonadota; Gammaproteobacteria; Enterobacterales; Yersiniaceae.
UAAUUCGAUGCAACGCGAAGAACCUUACCUACUCUUGACAUCCACAGAAUUCGGCAGAGAUGCCUUAGUGCCUUCGGGAACUGUGAGACAGGUGCUGCAUGGCUGUCGUCAGCUCGUGUUGUGAAAUGUUGGGUUAAGUCCCGCAACGAGCGCAACCCUUAUCCUUUGUUGCCAGCACGUAAUGGUGGGAACUCAAAGGAGACUGCCGGUGAUAAACCGGAGGAAGGUGGGGAUGACGUCAAGUCAUCAUGGCCCUUACGAGUAGGGCUACACACGUGCUACAAUGGCGUAUACAAAGAGAAGCGAACUCGCGAGAGCCAGCGGACCUCAUAAAGUACGUCGUAGUCCGGAUCGGAGUCUGCAACUCGACUCCGNGAAGUNGGAAUCGC